GGCCCAAAAUGCAUGGUGCAAUCUAUUUUUGUCCCUAAUUUUACAUUAGGGAGGGGGUGUAGAAGCAUCUGGAUGGUGCUCAUGAUUAAAGGCCAUUGGGCCAGGUACUAGGCCCAUUAACAAAAUAAAAUGGGGGAAGAGAUUGAACUUAGCCUCAUUCUUACGCUCUCUCUCUGUCCCAGUCUCCUUAUCAUGUUUCUGCUUGCUAGAAUCUCCUCUGCCGUGUCGGAAAUGCCCUUUGGCAGCGACGCAACCCAAAACAACCUCUAACCUACAUCAAAAUGAUGUUAACUCCACCCUCUCCCAGAAUCUCACCUUAAACAAAUUAGAAAAACUACCCUACCUCUUGAAUCUAAACAAGAUCCAUAAAACCAUGAUCUUUAGAAUUAAAAUUAAAUGGUGGUGGAGUGAAUAAUCAUGCAAUUACCUUAGGUUUUUCACUCAGGACAUCACACACGACAAUGUGAUAAUAAGUAUUUGAAGAACAAAUGAAGGAUUGAAGCUUGAAAACCUACCAAUGAAGCUGAGCUUUGCUCCAGUGGAUGUUGCCAAUAGAUUAAAAAAGAUCAGGUUGAACAACUGGUGGUGCAUGUAAUUGCAGGCAUUGAUGUGGGUUUGUGCAUGAAGUUUGGUGGUUUGUCAUGCCAACGUACAUGGCCCACCAUGAUUUUGGGCAUGGAAUACACAUGGAGGCACAUGGUCAAAAGAUGAUGGAUGAAGAUGAAGAAGACUGGGAGACUAGAGGAGAAGUAGGUCUAGAGUCAAUGUUAGUGUUAGGGUCAUACUUUGGUCAACUAUUUGACCAAAAGUCAACUGUGAGUCAAACUUGGAUUUUUAAUGUAUUAAUCUUGUAAUAAUAUUUUCCUUGUAUUUUGGUACACUUGAAUGAAAUGUUAACUUGUAAUGAUAAAUUGUUUUUCAAGUAAUGAAAAAUAUUUCCCUCCACCUUUAAA
Lathyrus oleraceus (garden pea) is the source of this 953-nucleotide long non-coding RNA. RefSeq lists it as uncharacterized. Lineage: Eukaryota; Viridiplantae; Streptophyta; Magnoliopsida; Fabales; Fabaceae. The transcript has 2 exons. The record is from RefSeq and is a predicted model, not a curated record.